This 400-nucleotide unclassified non-coding RNA is filed under the name uncultured fungus. RNAcentral describes it as "sequence contains ITS1". Lineage: Eukaryota; Fungi. The record is from RNAcentral.
ACGUCAUCCCCACCUUCCUCACCGCUUGCGCGGGCAGUCUCAUUAGAGUCCCCAGCAUGACCUGUUGGCAACUAAUGAUAGGGGUUGCGCUCGUUACGGGACUUAACCCAACACCUCACGGCACGAGCUGACGACAGCCAUGCAGCACCUAGUUUCGUGCAAUUGCUUGCUGCCAUGUUUCUACGGCAUUCACUAACUUUCAAGCCCAGGUAAGGUUCCUCGCGUAUCAUCGAAUUAAACCACAUGCUCCUCCGCUUGUGCGGGCCCCCGUCAAUUCCUUUGAGUUUCAACCUUGCGGUCGUACUUCCCAGGUGGAUUACUUAAUGCUUUCGCUCAGAGGCGUGCUGUGUAUCGCACACUUCGAGUAAUCAUCGUUUAGGGCGUGGACUACCAGGGUAUC